GGAAACUUUACAGCUGCAACACUGUUCAAUGAAAUCAAGCUUUAUUGACUACUAUAACAAACAAAACACUCAGAAUCAGGAUUUUCUCUUGGUGCCUUAUGGUCUUUUGGAUUACAAGGGGUCAAAAUAAAUAUUUAAGGAAACUUGACAAGAUCAUAAAAUUUUCAGCAAAAGGUGGAGGGAAAAAGGAUAAAAGAAGAAUGCGAAGAAGAAUGCAAAGAAGAUGAAGAAGCAACAGAGACUCGAUUCUAGAGAUGCUGUGAAAGUUUAUGUACAUAUUAUUCAAAAGGGGAG
Long non-coding RNA from Gorilla gorilla gorilla (western lowland gorilla), 294 nucleotides. RefSeq lists it as uncharacterized. The transcript is spliced from 5 exons. The record is from RefSeq and is a predicted model, not a curated record. Lineage: Eukaryota; Metazoa; Chordata; Mammalia; Primates; Hominidae.